RNAcentral lists this ribosomal RNA (460 nucleotides) under uncultured bacterium. RNAcentral's name for it is "partial 16S ribosomal RNA". It matches the Rfam family "Bacterial small subunit ribosomal RNA", at positions 338 to 795 of the family's 1533-position model. The record is from RNAcentral.
CCUACGGGUGGCAGCAGUGAGGAAUAUUGGUCAAUGGGCGAGAGCCUGAACCAGCCAAGUCGCGUGAAGGAUGACGGCCCUACGGGUUGUAAACCUCUUUUGCCAGGGAGCAAUCCUGUCCACGCGUGGGCUUAGCGAGAGUACCUGAAGAAAAAGCAUCGGCUAACUCCGUGCCAGCAGCCGCGGUAAUACGGAGGAUGCGAGCGUUAUCCGGAUUGAUUGGGUUUAAAGGGUGCGGAGGCGGACUGUUAAGCCGGCGGUAAAAAUUCGGGGCUCAACCCUGUCGAGCCGUGGAAACUGGUAGUCUUGAGUGGGCGAGAAGUAUGCGGAAUGCGUGGUGUAGCGGUGAAAUGCAUAGAUAUCACGCAGAACGCCGAUUGCGAAGGCAGCAUACCGGCGCCCAACUGACGCUGAAGCACGAAAGCGUGGGGAUCGAACAGGAUUAGAUACCCGUGUAGUC